This 1140-nucleotide small RNA is filed under the name Rattus norvegicus (Norway rat). Its description in RNAcentral is "uncharacterized LOC102550999". Lineage: Eukaryota; Metazoa; Chordata; Mammalia; Rodentia; Muridae. The record is from RNAcentral.
UGUAGGGAACAGAGCAGAAGGAGUCAGACAGGCUGGUUUCCAUGGCCUUGGGGCCGGUCACUUCCUUCUGUGAUUCCCAUGUUCCUCAUUUGAAGCGUGAAGAGAGUCCCCUUGGCCUUAAAAGGCACAUCUUCUCCGUUCAUUCAUUCAUUCACUCAUUCAUAGAAGAUGGCGUUUCCUAAGGAAUAGAUUGCUCUGUAUAGCGUCUAUCUUUGGGGGGGGGGCGUAAAAUGGGGUCAUUUGGUAGACAUAUUAUUUGCUCAGCAAACAUUUACUUGCCUAGCCCUCCCCACUUGGAGAGGGAUAGAAUUUCCUCACUCUGUUGAUAUUAGAUUUAGCCAUGUGACUUGCUGGAGACAGAAUACAGGCGGAAGCGGCAGCAGCCAGCUCCGGAGUCGCUGAGCCUCCCCUUUCCCACCUCUUGAGCAAUUGUCCUUGGCCAUGAGAAUACCAGAUAGCGGGAGUCCUUCAGCCGGACAAAGAAGGAGCAGACAAGGGAGACAGCUGUGUGUGACCCAAAGCUCGGAGGCCAGCCCGACCCAGCUAACCCACGGUGCUGAGAUUGAAUUUAGGGGCCUUGCACGUCUGGUCAAUCACUCCAGGACUGAUCUCCAUCCCUGUCUCUGGUUCUUGUAGUUCGCCGGUCUCACUGAGAAGCACAGGAACUGUCUACCCUGUGCUGUGAGGACAGGAACUCUUAUUGGAGCUCAUCAAAUAGUCUGCAGGGUCCCGAGUGGCCUUUCUGCCUCUGCCCUGUCCUCUCAGUGAUGGCAGCCUUGAAACUGUCUUCUGAGUUAUGGCAGCUACGCCCACAGGACUGGGUGACCCAGUGGGCUGCCAAGGCACUAGACUCCCAGGGUCUUCUUCCAGCUACCGUUUUGUAAAUGCUUGUAUGCAUUUAUCAAACACUUCUAUGUAGAGUUCGCCCUGUACCAGACACCAUGUGAAGUAUUAUAAUAUCCAAAUCUGCCUACAACCACCGGAUAAAUGGUUAGAGUCCCCAUUCUACAAACGGAGAAACCGAGACACCACGAGGUUGUGAAGGACCGGAGCGGGGAUUCAAACCCAGGAGGUCUGGCUCUCCUACCUCUCCUCGCUCUCCUCGCCUCAAGUUAUUUGAUUAAACCCGUUUUUCCUCAA